GGAAUUCUUUUUGCCGGUUCCCUCCUCGGAACAGGAACAGCCUCCACUUGAAGAACACGCUGGAGGUGUGGAGAGACGCUGCGCUUGCCAGGAGGGCCCAAGUGGCUAUUUUAAUCUUGUGGAACAGCCCCCUCUUCAUGGAAAAUUUUCUACUCCAACACCUGCGGCACUAAAGACGCGGCUCUUUCUGCGCUCGGCUCCCUGGGGCCACACUCAGCUGGGGCUGGCUGCCAGCUCAGGUAAUUAUUCCUGCCGCCCUGCCCUUCCCCAGCCCUCCCAGCUCAGCCGCCUUCCUGGGGAGCACUUCGGCCGGCCUUCCCUCCUCUCCGGGGUCUCUGGAAGAAACCCUGGCAGCAGAGGCCCCCUCCCCAGCACCAGCGGCCUCUCUGGGCUUCUUGGGUCAGGCCUGCCCUGCUUUGGGCUCCCUCUGUCUCCUUACUGACGUCAUCUGGAAGCUGAAAAGUCACCUCGGGCAUGACUUUUCUAAGACUGAGCACAUGAGCUUCUCUGGGGUUCCCAUGGUACCCAACUCUAUAGGGACCGUGGAACAACGUGGUGCCCUGUUCUUCAACCCAAACCUGGUCCACUUUGUGCUUCUGAGCUCAUUGACUAGGACCAAAUAAGCCGUGUUGCAGGCCAGAAAUCUGGGAGUCAUUCUUGAUACUUCUUGUGUCUCUGUCCCCUGCCAAGUGCCAUCCAUCACCUGACCAUACCCCCCGCUUGUUCUCACUACCACCAUCUCUGGCAGCAGUGGCAGAGGACCUGCCCACACUCCAGCAUUAGCCCAUCAGCUGGAGGACAGCGUAGAAAUGGGGGCAAGAGUCAGGUGGAGACUUGAGGUGGAGACGUUCUAGCUCAUGGUCUAGAAUGUGGGUGCCAUCCCCGUAGGACGGUGUGUUCUAUGAAAGCCCGUCAGGUAAAGAAAGCUAAGACGGUACCAACGCAUCUUGACUGCAGUUCAACCAACACAGACUGCACUAAGUUGUUUGGAAUGGUAGGUGGCAUCCAGCUAGGCAAGUAGCUGAUCUUCUGUGUUCAGGGCUCUGCUUUUUCUGAAAGGCUAUUUAUAUGUGCAGUAGUGAUUUAAAAAAAAAAAAAUUGAAAGUAAUACCCAAAACAAUGAAAAAAAUAAUAACUUUCAAGAUGAUUAAAAUUCCCCCUGAUUAUUAUUCAAAUGUGAAACUGAUUACCAGAAGGCAGGGGGCAUAGCUAAUUAGUCUUUGCAUCACCCAGGGUACCCACAAUAUAUGAGACUCUGCUCUUAAUCCAUUUGUCAAGUGCUGGAAAAUGUCAAGCAGAAAUCAAUGACAGACAGAGGACACACUACUGCUGACCCAAUGUCCGAAUUUCUCCAGGCCCAGACUUCUCGUCCCUCUGCCGAUUGAGUUCUUGCUAGAACAACACCUUUACUGAUGACCGGGGGGAUUCACUGAAGCCAGGCAGCUCCAGGUGUGGGGCUUGUGGGAGGGGAACUCUGGCAGCCACGUCUCUGUGGCCUGGACCCUCAGGCUGGGCAUUCUAAGCAUUUUUACAGGGGAGCUCACUAAAAUGUUUCAGGUCCCACUCCAAGCAUAAACGUAAAUUUGAGCUCCCUCUUCUCUAUUUGGCAGAAGAGUAAAGUGAGGCCCAGAGAGAGGAUGUGGGUUGCAAAGGACACCUACAGAGUUGGUGGCAAAUCCAGCAAAUCCGGAUCUCUAGGUUCUUCCUGUAAGAAUCCUUUUGCAGAUACCUUCUGCCUUGGCUUGGGUGAAUAUCAACAAUUACAGAAACACUUUUUUGAAUUAAAAAAAAAAAUGAAUGAGUUGGGCACAGUGGUGCAUGCAGGAAGCUGACACAGGAGGAUCACAAGUUUGAGGCCAGCCUGGACAACUUAGUAAGACCCUGUCUCAAAAUAAACAAUAAAAAGGGCGAGGGGUGUAGCUCAGUGGUAGAGUGUUUGCCCAGCAUGCAUGAAGCCCUGGUUCAAUCCCCAGUAACACAGUAACAUACAGGCAAACUUACACACACGAGUUGAAUAUUAAUCCACCAAAAUAAUAUUGAAACAGAAAAAUGAAGUUGGAGGAUUCACACUUUGCAAUUUUGAAGCCAAUGACAAACUAACAGUAAUCAAGAUAUUGUGGUGCUCAUAAAAGAUAUAUAGACCAAAGGAAUAGAGUUGAACUAAGAUAAACCAGAAAUAAAUGCAUACACCUGUACUAAUUGAUUUUCAACAAAGAUGCCAAGACCUUUCAAUGGGGGAAAGAAGAAUCCCCUCAACAAACAGUGCUGGGACAAGUGGAUAUUCACAGGCAAACAGAGUGAAGUUGGACCCCUACCAUGCAAAUCUUUUAGAAAAAAACACUGGUUUAAAACAUCAUGAACCUGGAUUUGGCAAUGGAUUCUUUGAUAUGACACCAACAGAUUUGAGCAACAAAAGAAAAAAGAUAUUGGACUUACCAAAAUUAAAAACUUUUGCUGGGCACAGUGAUGCAUUCCUGUAGUUCCAGCUAUUUGGGAAGCUCAGAAAGGAGGAUCACUUGAGUCCAGUAGUCCAAGACCAUAGUGAGGACCAUAGUGAGACCCCAUCUCAAAAAACCCAGAAAAACAAUAACAAACCAAAAAACUUUUGUGCACCAGAAUGUGAAAAAACAACCUACAAUAUGGGAGAAAAUAUUUGUAAGUCAUAUACCUGAUACAAGUCUACUAUCUAGAAUAUAUAAAGAAUUUUUGCAACUCAACACCAAAAAGAGAUAAUCAGUCUACAAAUUGGAAAAGGACCUGAGUAGGUAUUUCUUCAAAGAAAGUAUACAGUGGCCAAGAAGCACUGAAAUGACGUUCUGCAUCACUAGCCAUUAGGGAAAUGCAAGUAAAAACCACAAUAAGAUAUCAGUUCAUACCCACAACGUUGGCUACGGUCAUAAUAAUAUUUUUAAAGAAACAUAACAUGUAUUGGUGAGGACGUGGAAACAUUCUAUCUAUUAUCCAUAACUGGUGGGAAUGUAAAGUGGUUCACCCACUAUGGAAGGUAAUAUGGUGGGCUCGAUAUAUUAAGCAUAGAAUUACCCUGUGAUCUGGAAAUUCCACUCCUAGGUAUACGCCCCAAAUAAUUAUAAACCCUCAACCAAACACACACCCAUCCAGACACACACCAAACACUGCGUUCACAGCAGCACCACUUACUUUAGCUCACAGAUGGCAACAGCUCAAGUGUCCAUCAACAGAUGAGUAAAUACAAAAUGUGGAAGAGAUGUGCUGCUGAGUAUCAUUCAGUCAUAAACAGCAAUGACGCCCUGCUGCGCCAGGACACGGAUGAGCCUUGAAAACUGUGCGCUAAGUGAAGGGAGCCAGUCACAAAGGGUCGUUUAUGACGUGGCUCCAUUUAUGAGAAAUGUCCAGGACAGGUAAAUCCAUGGAGACAGAAAGCAUGCUGGCGUGCGUGAGGGGCUUGGUGAACAGGGAAGGGAAGUAGCCAGACAGUGAGUGCGGCGUUUUCUGAGGUGACGAAAAUGUUUUGAAACUUGAGAGUGAUGAUGAUCGUGAUUGUGCAACUCUGUGAGUGUACUAAAGACCAGUCAGGAUACACUUCAAAGUGGUUUAUGUUAUGCAAAUUUCACCUUAAUCUAAAAAAUUAUUAGCUAAUUAAUUAUUAAUUGAACCAUGAUAAAGUAUAAUAAUAAACAAUGCAAUAUAAUUAUAUCAAUAUAAUUUAUGAAUACAUUAUAUUAAUUUAUCUAUAAUCACCAACAAAUUAUAAUAAAUCAAUUGAUUAAGUUUAUUAAUUUAAAAAUUUAUUCAGAAAGUCAUUGAGAUGGGGGAAAUAUUAAAAACCUACAUUGGGUCACUUGGAGAGAAGAAACUACUGACUGACAGCUUUUCACAUCACAGCCACUACAAGAAAAAUCAAUGUGUGUCCCCACCACAACCAGAGCACACCAAUUUCAAAACACCCCUGUUGAGCAACAGCAUCACCAACUUCCCCAACCAGAGGUCAGCUGGGCUGGCUGAGAUCUUUCCUGUCUUGGAGAUGUGUCCCUGCCUCCAAGCAGCCAGGUCCCUUUUGACCCAGCUUCACUGGGUUAUGAAUAUCACAGCACUGGGCGGGAACUGGGGCUGGGGGUGUGGUGGGCUGAGCAGGGAGGGCUCUCCUGGACCCCAGCUGCCACAGGCAGCAGGUUGGCUGUGGUUGGAGGGGCCACUUUUGUCAGCUGGCCAAGGGCUGGUUAGAAAUCCAGGGAUGAGCAGCUGAAGUGUUUGGUAGGGGAGGCCCUGACAGCAAAGCUAGAACCGAAUCCACCCAAAGGCCACUGCCACCAGGUUUCCCACGGGGCUCAGGAAUCAGUAGCAGAAAUGUUGGUGACGAAGGCUAAAGGAAGUGUGUGUCCCUGGAUGGUGCAGUCUGCUAGCAGAUAAAAGGAGACCUUAUUCAUUAUAGGUAUUACCAGGUGCCCGGCAGGGCUGGUGGACACAGACAAGGCCGUGAGUGAAGGCUGAAGGCUGGACCUGGAUGGAGACAGCAUCGGGGAUGUCUGAAACAUCAUGGGUCCUAUCUAGCAGCUUGGGUAGACAGGGUGAUGUUUCCUACCUUAACCAGCUCACCACCAAGCUCACUGGAUGGUUCUGCCUCGCUCCUGCAGCCUUUGAGAGCCCCUGUUGGCCUGGGUAAGUCUGGCUCAUCCUGUUUCUCCACAGAACCUCUUCUGCUGCUUUAUUCGUGAGAAGCCUAGCACGUGGCUGACUUUGGCGACCAGCAAGCUUCCUAGGGCAAACUCUCACCCAGCUCUGGUGGGGAUCAAGCACUCAGGCCUUAGGGAUGGCUCGCAGCCUAGACCAGUCCAGUCAAAAUCGCUUGUCACUCCCCUCUGCCCACACUGACUGGUUCAGAUGUGGGCAUGUGUGCUGGGCACAGCCGGUCAGAAUCCUCCCACAGAUUGACACAUGGACCCUGGAAGAGCCUUCCUGUGGGAGCCUGAGCUGUGAGGACUUGGGGUUCCAUAGCCAUGCUUCCCUGGGGCUUGAGAGCCUGGUGUGCAUCUCAGUACCACUGGAGAGGCAAGGAAAGGCGGAUAUGGAAAGAACAGACCCUGGAUGAUGUCGUCUUGCCUGAAAUCAUUAUGACUCAGACUGCCCCGAUACAGGGCCCUCGAUCUUUCUCUCUUCCCAUUUAGGAUCACAUGGAAUGGGCUUUUUUUCCCCUCAUACCCAACAGUCUUGACUGGUAUAGCAGCUGGAUCUUUGGUGAGGGGUCCCUAUUUUGAACACUAUGUGGCAGUGGAAGGAAUCUGUCUUAAGGAGAUCCCAUGGUUUUGGUGUGAGAUAGUCCUGUGGUCUGCUGUGAUUUCAGAGAUUUAUUCAUAACUGGGCACUUGGAGAGAGGCGACAAAUGCGAGGAGCUUGGAGUCAUCAAACAAAAUCCCUGGAGGAUAGUGCUGAGCUCAGCCCCAGCCACCAGGAGAGAGAGCUGAGCAGGCGCAGGAAGAGUGAGGGCCAGCCUGGGCAGCAGGACCCGGUGAAGAAGGCCCAGGUGAGGAGAGGCCAGGCCAGGGGCCAGGAUGGCGUCUGUCUCCCCCACCCUCCAUCCACCCAUUUUGCAUGCGAGGCGGCAUGCCACCUGCCGAGGUGACAACAGAGGGUCCAAUGACGUUGUUCCAGCCCUCACAGUGUCUAGCGGAGAAGAGAGAGAUUAGGGAAGCAGCUGAAGAGCAGAAAUUCAUGGUGGCAUGGAGCAAGCGAUAGGAGUACCUCACCGUCAGGGGGUUGAGGGAGGCUUCCUUGAAGAAGUGAUAUUUAAAUCCACGUAGAUAUGAACGCUUAGAUGUAAGAACCAUGUUUGAAUCUACAUCUUGUAGGACAAAAAUGGGCAGCAGCACAAUCACAGUGUGUGGUCAUUCUCAGAUCCCACGCCUGACAUAUAGAACACAUUUAGCAAUUGUAGCUAUUGCAAAUACCCAUGAUUUCUGGAUUAAGCAGAGAAGGGCUGCUAACUGCCACUUGUUCUCAUGUUAAUAAUUUUGUCUCCUGUUUUGAUCGAAAAGGAUGGAGGUGUCUGGAAUGUAGAUAUGCAGAUGGUGAAAAAGAGGGUGACCACUUUUGUUUGGGAGGCCCCUUAGUUUCUGCAGCUGUCCGGUGAACAUGCAUUGAUUGAGUGGCCACCCAGCCGUGCAAACUCUUUGUCCUGGUCUCUGAAAACAUGUCUUUGAUUCCAUGUAAACAGUCCUCUAGCCACUUUUUUGAUAAUAAGCCAUAUGUGGUCAGGAGCUAUCUAUUUUCAGUCUAAUUAAACAAACUGCAGAUAUUUAUUAAGUGCCAACUAUGUGCCAAGGCUGGUCCAGGCACUAAAGACAGGGGGACGGAAGGCAUAUCGCUGCAAGAGUCCUGGGAGGAAGAGAGGCAAGUGAGGUAGGUUCACUGCAGGGAGUGACAGAUUUUUGGAAUGCUGGAGAAGCAGAGGAAGGAGGGGUUGAUUCUUCCUGGGGAAGGGGCUAAGGCGUAGCCACAAGCAGAUGUGACUUUCAAGGAGGUGGACAUCCCUAAGGUGGCAACAGUAUUCCUAGUUAGACACCCUGUGGCCAAAGUCUGGAGAUUUCAGUGGCCUCCUUGGCUUGUGUGGGGGCUUUUUUAGGAAGAGGAGGAAAUCAGACUGGAGCAGCAGAUGGUGUGGACGGUUAGCAGAGUCUGGACUAUGACGGUAAGGAGAUCCUGACAGGUUUGAGUCAGGAUUUGAGGUGAGUAGAGGGCAUUCUGGAAAGAUGACGUGGAUGUGUGAGGAGUGGACCAGGCAAGCUGGGGUUGAAGGACAGCGGGGGCUAUAGAAACAGCUCUGAUGAGACGUAGUGUUGGCCUGAGCCAGUUGGAUGGCAGGUGAGGGUUUCCAGGAGGUUUGGAUGGAAGUUGGCCAGAUGUUCCAAGAGAUCAGACGUGAGGCUGGAGGAAUCGAGGUGCUGACAGGUCCAAGUGCAUUUCAUCCACUUACCU
This 6951-nucleotide long non-coding RNA is filed under the name Marmota monax (woodchuck). Lineage: Eukaryota; Metazoa; Chordata; Mammalia; Rodentia; Sciuridae. The record is from RNAcentral.